This is a non-coding RNA of Salvelinus sp. IW2-2015, 926 nucleotides long. NCBI's taxonomy places the organism in Eukaryota, Metazoa, Chordata, Actinopteri, Salmoniformes, Salmonidae. The record is from RefSeq and is a predicted model, not a curated record.
UCCCAACGACAUGUAUCGCUUUUUCACUAUCAUUUUACAAUCACUUCACCUGUGUUCCAUACAUUCACCAUUUCACCAUCUGUCCAUCUGUCCAUAGCAGAGCAAUAAUAUUCACUUGUCUCUGUCUCUUUUCCACCAUUUUACCUGUCCUGACUUCUGUCAAAGCCUGUCCUGUUAUUCACUGUCACCAGCCAUCAGCUUUUUACAAUAUCAGGCCCAGGGAAGUCGCAGCUCUUUGUACAAGCACCUAGAGUAAUUGAAUUUGCUGCAGAAAUAGUGAGCUGGAAAAUGUCAUUUUCUCUGUAUGUGAGGGGAGGCAGGAGCAGGUGGGUCAUAGCCAGAGAGACAGACACAACUUAUCUAUCCUCUCUUCCAUGUCCCACUCUCUCUCCUUUCUCACAUAUACCCAUCCCACUCCAUCCUACUCUCUCUCAAAAUCUCCUCUGUCCUCCCACUCCAUCCUACUCUUUCCCAAAACUUCCUCUGUCAUCCUAAUCCAUUCUACUCCCUCCCAAAACCUCCUCUGUCAUCCGCAGGUAACCUAGUGGUUAGAGCAUUGGACCAGUAACUGGAAGGCUGCUGGAUCAAAUCCCCGAGCUGACAAGGCAAAGUAGAGGAUGAUGACAAACCCUGACCCCUGGCCUGCUACUUCUGGCUGCUACUGCCUGGGAGAACCAGAGAGGAAAGAGAUGUAAAGUAGCUGUUGAAUCAGAGGUACUAGAACUCAUGUAGAAGCACAUUUCAAUUGGUCAUUUUAGACUUUCCUUAUAAGACUCAGCAUGCCUGCUACUGUAGUUAUAAGACUCAGCAUCCCUGCUACUGUAGGUAUUUUGAAUGGUCACUGUGUUAGCCUCAGUUUGGAGUGCCUGAAAAUGUACAGUGACUACAAUUUAUGGGAAUGGCUAAUAAAUUAAUUCACACAUCCA